CAGGCUGGAGGCACCGCACCCGGCCAGAAUCAUUUCAAGUAUAGAACUGAAUGGCGUGAAGAUUCCACUCACAUUCUUGUGCAGCCACCAGCACCCUCCACCUCCAGAGCUCUCUCACCUCCCAAACUGAAGCUCUGUCCUCGCUGAUCAGUCACUCCUUGCCCCCUCGUCCCUGGCGCCCACCAUUCUACUUUCUGUGUCUGCAUCUGAGGAUUCCAGGGUGUUCACGUGAGUGCAAUCAUGCAGUAUUUGUCCUUCUGUGACUGGCUUAUCUCACCAAGCAUGGCGCUUCAAGGGCCAGCCACGCAGCGGCACGUGUCCAUAUAUCCUUCUUUUUUGCUAUAUGCAUAGGCCGUGCCUUGUUUAUUCACUCACCUGUCAGUGGACAGCUGUGUUGUUUUUAGGAUGUGACUUUGUGAAUCUUUGGGGAUUGAUCAGCUGACCAUGGAGGAAAUUCAUGAAAAGUUCAUGACAAGUGACUCUAGUGAAUCAACAAGUCCCGCUGACCACCUGUGCUGUAUCCUGGCUCAGGGCCUGCUGGAGGGGCUGGGCCGGCCACAUCUUCUACACAGCCCUCGGCCAGGGAUGACGGAAUGGAGGAGGAACACCCAGCUCCCUCUCCCUUUGGCAGUGAAUGUGAAAAUACACAAAGGGCCUUGCCGGCCACCCUUGCUUCGAGUCACUUCCUGGGACUUUUACAUUGCCAGGUGCUGGCACAGAGCCCAGUCUUGCAGGCGGCAAGAAGGCCCUGGGGGCACAUUCUCUCUGCAUGUGUGUGGCAGGAGCCUGCCAUGCCUACACACUGCCACCCAGAGACUCAGGUGAAGCGGAUCAAACAUGAAGAACUGUGUCCCCUGUGCUCUUGUGUGAGGCCAGGAGCCCCCAGGAACGCCAACAGCCAGGGGAGAAGGCAGGAGCAGAACGGGUCUGUUUGGAAAGGGUUUCUUUCCGAGUGGGGACAGCAGCUCUGCAGUGCCUGCUGUGGCUCGACCCUCAGACAUGUCCACGACCAUCACAUCCAGAAGGCCACGCCAUUCACAUUCAGGGUCAAGCAUGCUAUACCUCUGCCACUAUCCUCUCCUCAGCAAUGGCAGGAAGGGGUCUUGGAGAGCAAGAGGAACCCACACACACUGCGGUUGGAAGUGCAAGUCAGGGAAACCACUUUGAAAAGUUUGCGUUUCUACCGAAACUGAGUCUAAGUAUACUGUAUGACCCAGCAGCUUCAGUCCUAGGAAUACGCCCCACAGAGAUGCUUGGACAAGUCACAAGACACAUGUAUGAGGAUGUUACAUCAUGAUGCAUCAUACUCCCAAGUUAGAGACACCCCAAGUGGCCAUCAGCAGGGGACUUGGUGAAGGAAUUGCCAUAUGUUCCCAGAGCAGAUACCAUACAGUGGCAGAUACUGGUAGCCUUCAGCUGCACAUGUCAACAUGGAGGAAUCUCACAAAUGUAAUGUCGAGCAGAAGCCAGAUGCAAGUGAGCACAUCUGUGUAAUUUCACGUGAACAAUGCUGCCAGCAUGCACCUGUGCUUAGCAAUCCAUGCUUCCGUGGUAAAUCUACAAAGGGAAGGAGGCAAUUACCUUGAGGCAGAACGUCAGUGACCUUUGUGGGGAGAGGGCUGUGGAUGGGACGGGCUGGAGGGAGGUUCUGGGGAGUCAGGACUUGGGUGCUGGCCAUGUGGGGUUUGCUUCCUGGU
Long non-coding RNA from Callithrix jacchus (white-tufted-ear marmoset), 1697 nucleotides. RefSeq lists it as uncharacterized. Lineage: Eukaryota; Metazoa; Chordata; Mammalia; Primates; Cebidae. The record is from RefSeq and is a predicted model, not a curated record.